RNAcentral lists this long non-coding RNA (2291 nucleotides) under Phaseolus vulgaris (common bean). RNAcentral describes it as "long non-coding RNA (PVUL_LNC002834)". Lineage: Eukaryota; Viridiplantae; Streptophyta; Magnoliopsida; Fabales; Fabaceae. The record is from RNAcentral.
CCUAAUCUCCGAGCACAGCAAAAACAACUCACUUUUAUUAUUAUGAGAGAAGAUAUUACAAAUUGGGAUAUAUAACGGAGGAGAGUUUAAUUUAUAACCCUCAAACCUCCUUCCCAAACAAUGAACCCACCGAUGUGGGACUUGGGAUUAAGCCAAAAUCAACAACAUGAUCAUAACUCCCAUAUUUUUCUAGUUCUUACUCCUGAUAUUCCUGAAGAGGAUACUGACCUUGAGGACGAAGAUUAUAUCCACGUAAAGGUGAAAAAACAAAGAAAACACGAAAAAACUUUAAACUUUUACAAUGAUCAUUUGAAUGAUUGUCGAACUUUAUUGAUAAAUAUCCACUUAUAAAAGUUUUAUGAAUAUUCAAAUUAGAAAGAACGAGAAAAACAUAUAAAAAAUUAUUUAGUGAGUAAAGAUGAAAUUAGACGAAUAAUCCUUUCAAAAUAAAAUUAUAUUUAUAAGUUUUGUAAGAUUAAGUUAUUAUCUAAAUACAAAUCGCUAAUGCCUAUCGCUAAUGCCUAUUUUGUUUUAGUGGUAGACUUAGUUUAUUAAAUAAUAAUCUAUUCAUGAUUUUCAAUUAUGAAUUCAAAUUGAAAUGAUGAAUGAUUAAAUAAUGAAUACAUGUAAUUAAUUUCAAUAUCUAUAACGAUCAGAAUCAUUCAAAGGACAAUAGUGAGAUUAUAACACGAGAAAAACUUAAUUAAGGCAAAAAAAAAAGAGUAAGAAAUGUGAGAAUGGAUCAUAGAAAUGUAAUUUAUGAAAAAGAAAUGAUCUAGAAAGGAAAGAACAAAAAUGACAGGCAAGUUGAAAGAUGAACAGAGCAAUAAAGAAUAGUUAAAAACUGGAGAGACGUAUCAAGAGUGUAUAUAUUGGGAUCUGCUGUUAUGAUUCUGCUUAUUCCUAUCACCACCACCAUCACAUUCUUCCCUAACACCACAUUCUUUAAUACCCUUUCUUUAUUAUUUAAAUAAUACCAUAUUUAUUAUAUCCCACAACCAAAUCCAAACUUAUAACACCAAAAAUACUAAUUUUCAUUUUUUAAUAUUUUUUUCUCUCUAUCCUCAUCAAAUAGAAUAUUGCAACACUCAUAAUAAAUGUCCACUUGCAAUAUAUUGUGCAAAUCAAAGUAAGAGUAAACCCAUCUUCACAACUUCCAUUAUUUUUUUUAAUAAAUUAUAGUAUAAAAUUUUUUAUGUAUUAAAUAUUUUUAUUCAUAAUACUUAAAUUUAUAAAAAUAAUAAUUUAUACCAGACAAAGAUAAAGAAGUAUUAUGUAUGACCUAUGUAGCACAGACACGGACACGGACACGGACACGAUACAGAUACGAACACGAAAAUACGUAUAAUUUUUAAAAUAUAGGAUACGAGACUCAGAUCUAUAUAUUAUAUAAUUAUAAAUUGACAAUAAAGAUUUAUUUGCACUAAAUAUUUUUCAGUUUUGUUUUUAGCAGAAAUAUAUUUUUCAUGGUUGGUUCGAAAUGAUUUGUUCCUUAUUUCUAUAAUCAUAAUAAAAAUUUAUACAAUAACUUUGAGUUUUUAAGAAAAUUAAUGUAUUUUUUGUUUUAAAAAUUGUGUUGAACCCGUGUUAGAAUUUUCAGAAAUUCAACAAAUAUUUUUUGACGUUAAGAUUUAAGUGAUAAGUAUCUUAUGACUAUCGUAUCCGACACUGACAUUUAAAGAUUAUUUGAGCUUGAUUAGUGAAUGACUCCUUAGAUACUUACUUGACUAGUUAUGCUUCAACUGUUGUGUCUUCUAAUUUUACCGUUUUCAAUAGAUUUUAAUUAAUAUAAAUAUAAAAAAAUGUUUAAUAAUAUAUUGAUAGCACUCUUCUACUCACUGUUGUGUUAAAUUAAAGUAUUAUUAUCCCAAUUACGUAAACUCAAAAUAAAAAUAUUCACCUCAAGUUAACUUAACCAACCGCACACAUCCAGCACGUGGGGCCCACACCACUUGGGUCCAUCCAUCGAAACUCGCGCCAGAGAGAGAGAAAGAAAGAGACCCAAUCCAAUGCACCACGCGCCACGCCGCGUAUAUAAAUACCCAAAACCGGUUCUCCACUCUCUCUGUAAUUCAAUUUCCAAGCACCAACGUUAGCGUUUCGGAGAAACCCACACACACAGUAAGAGGUUUCAGACCACGCACCUUGUCGGAAACUACGCUUUUACCCUCUCGCGGUGUCGGAGAGGAACAUGAUCGUAGGGAGAACAACAACAACAUCAUCAUCAUCGACCACAGAAACAUCAUGGUGCGCUGUUUCAGCUUAGGAUCCGUUCUCAUUCUGGCGGCGCU